GGAGGUUGGACUGGGAGGGCGGGGGCCGGAGGCAGGUCAUGGGCUGGGGGGAAGGGUAGACGAGCGGCGGAAACCCUUAGACUCAGAGAAGCAUCGAGAACCGGAAGGAGACCAUGGGAGGAAGCAGUAGUGUUGGAUUGGCCAAAAAGCUCCUUCAGCUUUUAAGUAAAAAUAAAAGACACAUUUUUCAUUUUUACCAAGAACUUUAUUGAACAACGUAUUCACCGUUUUGUUCCACUAACUUCUGCCAUUUUUCAGGCAACUUCAUAAUUCCAUCUUCCCAAAACUUUUUAUGUUUUUGAGCAAAGAACUGUUCCAUAGGCCUUUUACAGUCUUCCAGGGAAUUGAAAUUUUUUCCAUUAAGAGAAUUUUGUAAAGACCGAAAUAAAUGGAAAUCCGAAGGUGCAAUGUCUGGUGAAUAUGGCGGAUGAAUCAAAACUUCCCAGCCAAGCUGGAACAGUUUUUGCCUGGUCAUCAAAGAAACAUGCGGUCUUGCUGAUGGAAGGUUAUGCGUUUUCUGUUGACUAAUUCUGGACGCUUUUCGUCAAGUGCUGCUUUCAGUUGGUCUAACUGGAGGCUGUACUUGUUGGAAUUAAUCGUUUGGUUUUCCAGAAGGAGCUCAUAAUAGACUACCUUUCAAUCCCACCAUAUACACACAUCACCUUCUCUGGAUGAAGACCCGCCUUUGGUGUGGUUCAUUUCACUUGCCCCACGAUCUCUUCCAUUCCACAUUAUUGUACAGUAUCCACUUUUCAUCACCCAUCACAAUUUGUUUUAAAAACGGAACAUUUUCGUAAUGUUUCAGUGGAGAAUCACAUGCGGAAAUACGGUCAAGAAGGUUUUUUUCACUUAACUUAUGUGGAACCCAAACAUCAAAGCGAUUAACAUAACCAAGCUGGUGCAAAUGAUUUUCAACGCUUGAUUUGGAUAUUUUGAGUAUGUCGGCUAUUUCCCUCUAGCAAUAUCGUUGACUGUUCUCAAUUAAUGUCUAGAUUUGAUUGCUAUCAACUUCAACUGAUGUACCCAACCAUGGAGCAUCAUCCAGUGAGAAAUCUCCAGCACAAAAGUUCGCAAACCACUUUUGACAUGUUCGAUCAGUCCCAGCACCUUCUCCAUAUACUGCACAAAUCUUUUUUUGCAUUUCAGUUGCGUUUUUACCUUUCUUGAAAUAAUAAAGCAUAAUAUGCUGAAAAUGUUGUUUUCUUCCAUCUUCAAUAUUAAAAUGGCUACAUAAAAAUUCAUCAAUUUUGGGACUUGCCUGGUGGCACAGUGGUUAAGACUCUGCACUCCCAAUGCAGGGGACUGGAGUUCAAUCCCUGGUCAGGGAACCAGAUCCCAUAUGCAUGCCGCAACUAAGAGUUCACAUGCCACAACUAAGGAGCCCACCUGCCGCAACUAAGGACCUGGUGAGCUGCAACUAAGAAGCCUGCCUGCUGCAACUAAGGAGCCCACGUGCUGCAACUAAGGAGCCCACCACAACUAAGACCCAGUGCAACCAAAUAAAUAUUUUUUAAAAAUUCACCAAUUUUGAUAAGUUUUUUUAAAUGCACACUGAUAUGACAGCUGUCACAUACAAUCUAACAAAAUUGUUUUGAAUGAAGUUAAAGACAGCUAAGCGCUAUUAGAGCUGUCUUACAGAAAAAAUUGAAUCAACUUUUUGGCUAACCCAAUAUCUUGUGGAAAUCACAAUUCAACUCAUACUGCUUUAAUUUAUUCCUUUCCAUAAGAUACAAAAACUGUAAUUAAUUCAACCAUUUUCCUAUUAAUGAGCUUUCAUUUUGUUACUUGUUUUUUGAUACUAUGGAUGAUACUACAGUGAAUAUUCUCACAGAUAGACCCUUACGUAGUAUUUUAUACCUAUAGGACAGAUUCGCAAGAAUGAUGUAGCUAGGACAAAAGAUAUUUGUAGUUUAAAACAUUUUAACACAGGUUGCCAGACUGUUUUGCAAAUAGGUUGAAAAAGUUCACAUUUAUACCAGCAAUGUAUAAUACCCUUUUAGUUGGAUCCCUACUGGCAACAGGUGCUGUUGGUCAUUUAACAUUUUGCCCAUUCUGAAAAGAUGUCUCACUUCACUUGUAACAGGAGAAAUGCAUAAUACUACACUAAGAUUAAACAUUUUCACUUAUCAGUCCCAAAUCCAAAAGUUUGAUAACAUACUCUAAUGACAAUGCUGUGGGGUCACUCUUCCAUGUUGUUUAUAUAACACAGGGAAAUCUGGCAAUAUCUAUCAAAAUCCCACACACAUUACAUACCCUUUGAUCCAGCAAUCUUAUUUCUGUGAAAUCUUGAACAUGUGAGACAAAAUUAUAAACAGUAUUAUUCAUUACUACACUGUUUUCAAAAGCAAAAGACUGAAAUCAAUGCAAAUAUCCAUCAUAAGGGCUGGUAAAAUAUAUUCUGGUAUUCUUGUAGUGAAAUACAAUGCAGCUGUUAAAGGAUAAGAACUCUCAUUAUGGAGCUACUUACAUAACUCUGAGUUGUGGAACACAGUGCAUUAUUAUAACCUUUGCUUUUUUUCUUUUUUUUAAGGAGAAUAAAAUAAACUCAUAUUUGUAUAAAAAAGCUCUGGGAAAUACUUGAGAAACUAAUCAAAGUGGUUGUGAGACGAGUGGUGUUGGCAUGGGAAAUGGGUGGAUGGCAGAUAUGUGGGGGAAACUUCAACUCAAAACAUAAAUACCUAUCCACCUAUCUAGAUACACAAACACACAUUACAUUUGAAUGAAUUGCUCCUCAAAAGGAAAAGAAAAAGAAAAAUAGUUCCAGUAGAGUGAAUUCCCCAGUUUCCUUUAUGUGAUUUUUGUCAAGUCAAUUUAACUAUCUGAUCCUCUUUCUUCAACUGUAAAACAGGGAUAAGAUCUGCUUCACAAUGCUUUGGUGAGCACUAGAUUAGCUCUGUCACUUAAUAAACUGACACUUAAUAAAUGUUAGUUGAAUAAAAAAAAAAAA
Long non-coding RNA from Orcinus orca (killer whale), 2947 nucleotides. RefSeq lists it as uncharacterized. The transcript is spliced from 2 exons. Lineage: Eukaryota; Metazoa; Chordata; Mammalia; Artiodactyla; Delphinidae. The record is from RefSeq and is a predicted model, not a curated record.